AUAUAAUUGAGUUUGAUGAUGGCUCUGAAUGAACGCUGUCCAAAUGCUUGACACAUGCUAAUCGUACGUUUAAUAUAAUAUAAUAGUAUUUAGGUUAAUCCUACAAAACUGUUUAUUUAAUUAAAAGUGGUGUACAGGUGAGUAUAUGAUAUUUUGGCUACCUUAAAGUAAGGCUAAUAAAUACCUUAUAAAGAAAGGAAGUAAACUUCCGCUUUAAGAUGACAAUAAAUAUCUCGGAUAGGUAGUAGUUAAGGUAAUGACUUAACUAGCUUAAAAUUC
RNAcentral lists this non-coding RNA (279 nucleotides) under Pseudogymnoascus sp. VKM F-4246. RNAcentral's name for it is "Bacterial small subunit ribosomal RNA". It matches the Rfam family "Bacterial small subunit ribosomal RNA", at positions 1 to 282 of the family's 1533-position model. The record is from Rfam by way of RNAcentral. Lineage: Eukaryota; Fungi; Ascomycota; Leotiomycetes; Thelebolales; Thelebolaceae.